Molecule: transfer RNA, 67 nt
Filed under: Ptenopus garrulus (Whistling gecko)
Lineage: Eukaryota; Metazoa; Chordata; Lepidosauria; Squamata; Gekkonidae
Description: tRNA-Tyr
Source: RNAcentral
GGUAGUAUGGCCGAGUAAAGGCAUUGAGUUGUAGCCUCGAUAACAGGGGGUGUUACCCUUGCUGCCA